UAAUAAUAUAUUUAUUAAAAAUAAUAUAGAUAUACAUAGAAUUUAUGAUACUUUAAAUAAUACAUUGUUAGAUAAUUGUAAUGAAGAAAAAAAUGUUAUGGAAUUAAAAAAGUUUGUACAAAAAGAAGAAAGUAAUUUACAAAAAAAAAAAAUUAAUGUUAGAAAUGCAAACUGUUAUGAUGAUUAUAUGCAUAAUUAUAACACACUGGAAGAAAAAAAAAAUUUGCUGCAACUGCAAAAUAUUUUAUAUGAUGGGGAUGAACAUAUAAGUGAUUUUAAAAGUAUGAGUGAGACAACAACAAAAAAAAAAAAUAGUAAAAAAGAUGGUGAAUAUGACAAAGACGAUCAAGGUGAUACGGAUGACAAGCGGAACAACACGAAAGGAUUAGGUUUAGAAAGCCUUGAAAGUCAGAGAGCAACUGAUGCAGUAAACGGUGGUAAUAGUGGUAGUAAUAGUGGUAGUAAUAGUAGUAGUGGUAGUAAUAGUAGUAGUGGUAGUAAUAGUAGUAGUGGUAGUAAUAGUAGUAGUAGUAGUAGUAGUAGUAGUAGCAGUAGUAGUAGCAGUAGUAGUAGCAGUAGUAGUAGUAGUAAUAGUGGCUAUGGUGACAGUAGUAAUAAUAAUGAAAAUAAUGGUAACAAUAAAGGCGAACAUAGUGGGAAAAAGAACGAUGAAAAUUUAAAUGCACUUUCCAAUGUUUUAAUUACAUAUGAUGGAAGGUCGAAUAAAAAUAGAGAUGAUAAAGAAGAAAAAAAGAAUAAAAUAAUGUUAAUAGAGUUUGUUUAUGAUGAUAAGUACAAAUGUGAAUUUAGAACAGACGUGGGUGUAAUUUGUUACGACACAAUAGAACCUAAUUUUAUAAAUUGUAAAAAAAAAAAAAUAAAUAAUAAAAUAAAUAAGUUGGACAUUUAUAGUUCUUAUCAUAAUAAAAAAUAUGACAUUUCUUUUGAUAAUGCUUUAUCAGUGUAUGGUAAGGAUAUAGAAGAUAUAUUUAAGGAUAUAAAUUAUGAUGCAUUAAAUUUGUUACCAUAUAAAAAGAGGUUUUCAAAAAAACAAUGCAUUGCAAAUAAAAUAAAUAAAAACGUAAUUGACAAUAAUUUAAAAGAUACAAAUUUAGUAAACAAGUUGUUAUAUGUUUUUUUAUAUUUAUGGGGAGAUGAUUUGCAUUUCUAUGAAUUAAAGAAAUUGGAGUGGAAAAAGUUAAAGAAUGAAAAAGAAGUAAAAAUGAAUAUUUUGAACGAACAAAAAAAGCAGUACAGUUUUUUUUACAAUUUUGGUAACGAUAAUGGUAUAGCAUGUACUGAUGACAUAGCAAGAGAUGACCACGAACCAAGAGAUGGUAACGAACCAAAAGAUGGUAACGAACCAAAAGACGACCACUUACUAAGAGACGAUAAUACAUUAAUAAAUAACAAUAUAUAUAACAAAAUUCUUCGUUCAGAUAAAAAAAUGACAUAUAAAAAUAAUUACAAACUAUUUAAUAAUGAGACAUUUUUAAAUAAUGAUUAUAUUUCAUUUAACUUAGGGUUGUAUAUAAAUAACAAGAACGAAAUUAAUAAUUAUGAAAGUUUAAUUAAUAAAUUAAAAGCGUUUAAUUGUACUUUAAGUGAUAAUAUAUUAUAUUAUUUAAAAAAAAAAAAAAAUAUAUGUUUU
Molecule: long non-coding RNA, 1651 nt
Filed under: Piliocolobus tephrosceles (Ugandan red Colobus)
Lineage: Eukaryota; Metazoa; Chordata; Mammalia; Primates; Cercopithecidae
Description: lncRNA (ENSPTEG00000013562.1)
Source: RNAcentral